CAACCCCUCAAGCCUAGCUUGGUCUUGGGGCCUGCCCGCCGGGCGGCCCUUAAACACAGUGGCGGUGCCGUCGUGCUCUACGCGUAGUAACUCUUCUCGCGACAGGGCGCUGACGGGACCUGCCGAAGCUCCAUCUCUC
RNAcentral lists this unclassified non-coding RNA (139 nucleotides) under Sawadaea bicornis. RNAcentral's name for it is "sequence contains ITS2". Lineage: Eukaryota; Fungi; Ascomycota; Leotiomycetes; Helotiales; Erysiphaceae. The record is from RNAcentral.